CGCAGGGUCCCGCUCGAGUUUGGGACCCUGUGAACCCGGUCAGAUCCGGAAGGAAGCAGCCGUAGCAGGAAUUCGGCUGCGAGUGGGGAUGCCCUGCGGUC
RNAcentral lists this signal recognition particle RNA (101 nucleotides) under Myxococcales bacterium. RNAcentral describes it as "signal recognition particle sRNA small type". It matches the Rfam family "Bacterial small signal recognition particle RNA". Rfam says of the family: The signal recognition particle (SRP) is a universally conserved ribonucleoprotein involved in the co-translational targeting of proteins to membranes. Archaeal SRP consists of a 7S RNA and homologues of the eukaryotic SRP19 and SRP54 proteins. Lineage: Bacteria; Pseudomonadati; Myxococcota; Myxococcia; Myxococcales. The record is from RNAcentral.